CGUGUCGGAUUAUUGGGCGUAAGAGCACGUAGGCGGCCUUGCAAGUCAGUUGUGAAAGCCUUCCGCUUAACGGAAGAACGGCAUCUGAUACUACAGGGCUUGAGUACGGGAGGGGAGAGUGGAACUUCUGGUGGAGCGGUGAAAUGCGUAGAUAUCAGAAGGAACGCCGGCGGCGAAAGCGACUCUCUGGUCCGAAACUGACGCUGAGGUGCGAAAGCUAGGGGAGCAAACGGGAUUAGAUACCCCGGUAGUCCUAGCCGUAAACGAUGGGCACUAAGUAGAGGGGUUUUGAUUAUUUCUCUGCCGGAGCUAACGCAUUAAGUGCCCCGCCUGGGGAGUACGGCCGCAAGGCUAAAACUCAAAAGAAUUGACGGGGGCUCGCACAAGCGGUGGAGCAUGUGGCUUAAUUCGAUGCAACGCGAAGAACCUUACCGGGGCUUGACAUGGUAGAAGUAGAAUCCUGAAAGGGUGACAUCGGUCCAGUCCGAAGCUAUCACAGGUGUUGCAUGGCUGUCGUCAGCUCGUGUCGUGAGACGUUGGGUUAAGUCCCCUAACGAGCGAAACCCUUGUCUUUAGUUGCUAACGGGUAAUGCUGAGCACUUUAGAGAGACUGCCGUCGUUAAGACGGAGGAAGGUGGGGACGACGUCAAGUCAUCAUGGCCCUUAUGUCCCGGGCUGCACACGUGCUACAAUGGUCGGUACAAAGGGAUGCUAAGUCGCGAGAUGGUGCGAAACCUAUAAAGCCGAUCUCAGUUCAGAUUGGAGGCUGAAACUCGCCUCCAUGAAGUUGGAAUCGCUGGUAAUCGCGGAUCAGCUACGCCGCGGUGAAUAUGUUCCCGAGCCUUGUAC
RNAcentral lists this ribosomal RNA (849 nucleotides) under uncultured bacterium. Its description in RNAcentral is "bacterial SSU rRNA". It matches the Rfam family "Bacterial small subunit ribosomal RNA", at positions 542 to 1386 of the family's 1533-position model. The record is from RNAcentral.